CUGAAACAGGAUGGGGUGAAUUCGAAAUAAUCAUCAAAAUAUUUUUCAUUGACCCUAAUGAAAGACCUGUAACCCUGUAUCAUUUGCUAAAGCUGUUUCAAUCAGACACCAAUGCAAUGCUGGGGAAAAAGACAGUGGUUUCAGAGUUCUAUGAUGAAAUGAUAUUUCAAGACCCAACAGCAAUGAUGCAACAAUUAUUGACAACAUCUCGUCAG
Molecule: unclassified non-coding RNA, 215 nt
Filed under: Hevea brasiliensis (rubber tree)
Lineage: Eukaryota; Viridiplantae; Streptophyta; Magnoliopsida; Malpighiales; Euphorbiaceae
Source: RNAcentral